AAUUUCACUAAAAAUCAUUAACCCUCCAAUAUUACUGAAUGAUUCUAUAAUAAUAUAGAAAACAUAAUGCUAGAACUAGUAACAAGAAUUUUAAUUCUCCAAAAUGUAAACAUCCACCAAACAACCCGGUAAUUAACGAAUGUGAACCCAUUUCAGCAACCACCAAGAAAACUCUGUAUAAUCCUUCGUCAACCUAACACUAGAACAUUCCUGGAAAGAUUUAAAGAGAAAGAAGGAACUCGGCAAAUUUCGACCCCGCCUGUUUACCAAAAACAUCGCCUCUUGAUUAACAAUAAGAGGUCCAGCCUGCCCAGUGACAAUUCAACGGCCACGGUACCCUAACCGUGCAAAGGUAGCAUAAUCACUUGUUCUUUAAAUAAGGACUAGUAUCAACGGCAUCACGAGGAUCACACUGUCUCCUUUCCCUAAUCAGUGAAACUGAUUUCCCCGUGAAGAAGCGGGAAUAAAACUAUAAGACGAGAAGACCCCAUGGAGCUUUAAACUUUCAGCAACCAAACCACACAUCCCCUUAUAACCAUAAAGUUAUGCUUAACAGUCUUAGGUUGGGGCGAUCGCGGAGUAAAAAUUAACCUCCAUGACGAAAAGAACUAAUCUUUAUCCAAGACCUACUACUCUAAGAAUUAGAACACUAACGUUCAUGACCCGAUAAACGAUCAACGGACCAAGUUACCCUGGGGAUAACAGCGCAAUCUACUUCAAGAGCUCAUAUCGACAAGUAGGUUUACGACCUCGAUGUUGGAUCAGGGCAUCCUAGUGGUGCAGUCGCUACUAAUGGUUC
Molecule: ribosomal RNA, 799 nt
Filed under: Philautus petersi (Peter's bubble-nest frog)
Lineage: Eukaryota; Metazoa; Chordata; Amphibia; Anura; Rhacophoridae
Description: partial 16S ribosomal RNA
Rfam family: Bacterial large subunit ribosomal RNA
Source: RNAcentral